UUUUCAAGCAGCUAUCAAAUCCCCAGAGCGCACCCGUCCCUGUAGCAAAAGGGUGGGAAGACUUGAAAAUAGAGGCAAAAAGCCAACCGAGCUUGGUGAUAGCUGGCUACUCAACAAAAGAAUUUAAGUUCAACUUUAGGCACUUACGAGCCAAUCAUUCAAUAAACUCACUUCCCAUAAACCUAAAGAAAAUCAAUGGGGGUACAGCCCCAUUGAACCGGAAUACAGCCCGAAUUGAGAGAACCCUCCCCCCUUUUUUCCUGUAGGCUUCAAAGCAGCCACCAAAAAUCGCGUUAUAGCAUAUCUACUAAACAAUUCUAACAACUUAAUAACCCUCCUAGCUUACAACGAGUUAUUCUAUCCUACUAUAGAAACACCAAUGCUAAAAUUAGUAAUAAGAAACACUUAUUUCUCUCUGCACCCCCUUAAAUCAGACUAGAAAAACUACUGACAAUUAACAAACCAAAUUAAACACACACUUAUCUAGCCAAAAUGUUAUUAAAAACUUGUUACCCCAACACAGGUGUGCAAAAAAGAAAGACAAAACCCCGUAAAAGGAACUCGGCAAAACUUAGCCCCAACUGUUUACCAAAAACAUAGCCUUUAGCCCCCCAAGUAUUAAAGGUCUCGCCUGCCCAGUGACUCUUUAAACGGCCGCGGUAUCCUAACCGUGCAAAGGUAGCAUAAUCACUUGUCCCUUAAAUAGGGACUGGAAUGAAUGGCUAAAUGAGGGUUAAACUGUCUCUUGCGGGUUGUCAAUGAAAUUGAUUUUCCAGUACAAAAGCUGGAAUAAACACAUAAGACGAGAAGACCCUGUGGAGCUUCAAAACCAAGUUCAUUAAAAAUGUUCCUUGGAUUUUUAGUUGGGGCGACUUUGGAGUAAAAAAAACCCUCCAAAACGUGAUUAAACCUCUAAUAUUAAGAACAACAAAUCAAAAACCACAAACAGACCCAGCAACAACCCUAAUGUUGUCUGACCAAUGAACCAAGUUACCCCAGGGAUAACAGCGCCAUCCCCUUCUAGAGUCCUUAUCGACAAGGGGGUUUACGACCUCGAUGUUGGAUCAGGACACCCCAAUGGUGCAGCCGCCAUUAAAGGUUCGUUUGUUCAACGAUUAAAGUCCUA
Molecule: ribosomal RNA, 1126 nt
Filed under: Darevskia clarkorum
Lineage: Eukaryota; Metazoa; Chordata; Lepidosauria; Squamata; Lacertidae
Description: partial 16S ribosomal RNA
Rfam family: Bacterial large subunit ribosomal RNA
Source: RNAcentral